RNAcentral lists this long non-coding RNA (1180 nucleotides) under Equus caballus (horse). RNAcentral describes it as "lncRNA (ENSECAG00000050082.1)". Lineage: Eukaryota; Metazoa; Chordata; Mammalia; Perissodactyla; Equidae. The record is from RNAcentral.
CCUGGAGAAUUCUGCCAAACUUUCAGAGAGGAUUUAAUAUCUAUCCUUCUCAAGCUCCUCCAAAAAUUAGGGAAGAUGGAACACUUCCUAACGAAUUCUACAAGGCCAACAACACUCUAAUACCAAAGCCUGACAAAGACAACACAAAAAAGGAAAACUAUAGGCCAAUAUUGAUGAUGAACAUUGAUGCAAAAAUCCUCAACAAAAUUUUGGCAACCCGAAUUCAGUGAUAAAUCAAAAGCAUCAUAGAUCAUGAUCAAGUGGGAUUUAUACCAGGAACACAGGAAUGGUUCAUCAUCUGCAGAUCAAUCAAUUUGAUACACCACAUCAACAAAUUGAGGAAUAAAAACUACAUGAUCAUCUCAAUAGAUGCAGAGAAAGAAUUUGACAAGAUCCAAAGCGAUUUAUGACAAAAACUCUUAACAAAGUGGGGAUAGAAGGAAAUUACCUCAAUAAUAAAGGCCAUAUAUGACAAACCUACAGCCAACAUCAUACUCAAUGGGGAAAAACUGAACCCCAUCCUUCUGAGAACAGGAACAAGACAAGGAUGACCACUAUCACUACUCUUAUUCAACAUAGCACUGGGGGUUUUGACCAGAGCAAUUAGGCAAGAGAAAGGAAUAAAAGGAAUCCAAAUAGGCAGUGAAGAAGUGAAACUUUUGCUGUUUGCAGACGACAUGAUCUUAUAUAUAGAAAAUCCUAAAGAAUCCAUCAGAAAACUAUUAGAAAUAAUUAACAACUAUGGUAAAGUUUCCAGGUACAAAAUCAAUGUACAAAAAUCAGUUGCAUUUAGGUACUCUAAUAACUAGCUUCCAGAAAGAGAACUCAGGAAUACAAUCUCAUUUACAAUCACAACUAAAAUAAUAAAAUACCUAGGAAUAAAUUUAACCAAGGAGGUGAAGGACUUAUACAAUAAAAACUAUAAGACGUUACUGAAAGAAAUAGAUAAUGACAUAAAGAGAUGGAAAGGGAUUCCAUACACAUGGAUUAAAAGAACAAAGAUGGUUAAAAUGUCCAUGCUACCCAAAGAAAUCUACUGAUUCAAUGCAAUCCCAAUCAAAAUCCCAAUAACAUUCUUCACAGAAACAGAACAAAGAAUCCUAAAAUUCAUAUGGGGCAACCAAAGAGCCCGAAUUUUAAAUGCAAUGCUGAGUAAAAAGAACAAAGCUAGAGGCAUCAC